Molecule: unclassified non-coding RNA, 766 nt
Filed under: Hevea brasiliensis (rubber tree)
Lineage: Eukaryota; Viridiplantae; Streptophyta; Magnoliopsida; Malpighiales; Euphorbiaceae
Source: RNAcentral
CUUCGUCAGAGUCAGCCGGCGGGAACGCAUUGAGAAUUUGAGAUCGUUUCUGAAUUUCAAUUUGUUGUGGUGUCAUAUUACCGGAACUUUGUGAUACAAUGUCUGUGGUUGAUGAGCCCCUGUAUCCAAUUGCUGUUCUCAUAGAUGAGCUAAAAAAUGAUGACAUCCAGCUAAGGCUGAAAACAAUCCGUAGACUAUCGACAAUUGCUCGUGCUCUUGGGGAGGAGCGAACCCGGAAGGAAUUAAUUCCAUUUUUGAGUGAAAACAAUGAUGAUGAUGAUGAGGUUCUCCUUGCGAUGGCAGAGGAAUUGGGAGUUUUCAUCCCUUAUGUUGGGGGAGUUGAGCAUGCCCAUGUUUUGCUCCCACCUUUGGAAACCCUUUGCACUGUGGAGGAAACAUGUGUGAGAGAUAAAGCUGUGGAGUCCUUGUGUAGGAUUGGAUCCCAGAUGAGAGAGGGUGACUUGGUUGACUGGUUCAUUCCUCUGGUCAAGAGACUGGCUGGGGGGGGANCUGGAGAAUGGUUUACAGCUAGAGUUUCUGCAUGUGGACUAUUUCAUAUUGCCUAUCCAAGUGCCCCUGAUACGUCAAAGACAGAAUUGCGUACAAUAUACAGCCAGCUCUGUCAAGAUGACAUGCCUAUGGUUAGAAGGUCUGCAGCCUCAAAUCUUGGGAAAUUUGCUGCGACCGUUGAACCUGCUCAUUUGAAGAUUGACAUCAUGUCAAUAUUUGAGGAUCUAACCCAGGAUGAUCAGGAUUCUGUUCGUUU